GUUUGGCACCUCGAUGUCGGCUCAUCACAUCCUGGGGCUGAAGCAGGUCCCAAGGGUUCGGCUGUUCGCCGAUUAAAGUGGUACGUGAGCUGGGUUUAGAACGUCGCGAGACAGUUCGGUCCCUAUCUCAUGUGGGCGUAGGAUACUUGAGAGGAGCUGUCCCUAGUACGAGAGGACCGGGACGGACGAACCUCUGGUGCACCAGUUGUCGCGCCAGCGGCACAGCUGGGUAGCUAUGUUCGGUUCGGAUAACCGCUGAAAGCAUCUAAGCGGGAAGCCAGCCUCGAGAUGAGGUAUCCCUGAAGACCCCUGGCAGAUUACCAGGUUGAUAGGCGGGGCGUGUAAGCGCUGCGAGGCGUUUAGCUAACCCGUACUAAUCGGUCGUUCGGCUUGACCAU
This 398-nucleotide ribosomal RNA is filed under the name Acidobacteriota bacterium. RNAcentral describes it as "partial 23S ribosomal RNA". It matches the Rfam family "Bacterial large subunit ribosomal RNA", at positions 2516 to 2925 of the family's 2925-position model. The record is from RNAcentral. Lineage: Bacteria; Pseudomonadati; Acidobacteriota.